GGGGCUGACAGGCUUUCGAUGGCCUGCCGGAGACCAUUCGCUACGUGCCGGAGGCCGGCAGGGACAACCGUCAUCAACCUUGCCACAAGAACGAACGCCAACACCGUUUCUUCUUCCCGUUUCACCCUCGCGGCGUGAAACCCGGCUUUGAUCCCAUUGCCGAUUAACGGGUCAAAGCCGGAGAACUUCGAAUCGGACUGGUCGGACAGUCGGACGAUGGAUUCGCCCGGCCAGCAUACGAACAUCGUCUACAAGCCGUGCGGGUUCGCCGAACGCACCCGUCCACGGAUGAGCGUCAAGCGUCGGAUACGCACGUGACGGCAAGCAAUGGUUGACGGCAGGCCAGACCCGGGUUCGAUUCCCGGCAGCUCCACGA
This 376-nucleotide transfer-messenger RNA is filed under the name Bifidobacterium longum subsp. longum. It matches the Rfam family "transfer-messenger RNA". From Rfam's summary of the family: Bacterial tmRNA, also known as 10Sa RNA or SsrA, is named for its dual tRNA and mRNA-like properties. Its role is to liberate the mRNA from a stalled ribosome. Lineage: Bacteria; Bacillati; Actinomycetota; Actinomycetes; Bifidobacteriales; Bifidobacteriaceae. The record is from RNAcentral. RNAcentral also lists the same sequence under 3 other names.